Molecule: ribosomal RNA, 697 nt
Filed under: Acinetobacter sp.
Lineage: Bacteria; Pseudomonadati; Pseudomonadota; Gammaproteobacteria; Moraxellales; Moraxellaceae
Description: bacterial SSU rRNA
Rfam family: Bacterial small subunit ribosomal RNA
Source: RNAcentral
GCGUAAGCGUGCGUAGGUGGCCAAUUAAGUCAAAUGUGAAAUCCCCGAGCUUAACUUGGGAAUUGCAUUCGAUACUGGUUGGCUAGAGUAUGGGAGAGGAUGGUAGAAUUCCAGGUGUAGCGGUGAAAUGCGUAGAGAUCUGGAGGAAUACCGAUGGCGAAGGCAGCCAUCUGGCCUAAUACUGACACUGAGGUACGAAAGCAUGGGGAGCAAACAGGAUUAGAUACCCUGGUAGUCCAUGCCGUAAACGAUGUCUACUAGCCGUUGGGGUCUUUGAGACUUUAGUGGCGCAGCUAACGCGAUAAGUAGACCGCCUGGGGAGUACGGUCGCAAGACUAAAACUCAAAUGAAUUGACGGGGGCCCGCACAAGCGGUGGAGCAUGUGGUUUAAUUCGAUGCAACGCGAAGAACCUUACCUGGUCUUGACAUAGUAAGAACUUUCCAGAGAUGGAUUGGUGCCUUCGGGAACUUACAUACAGGUGCUGCAUGGCUGUCGUCAGCUCGUGUCGUGAGAUGUUGGGUUAAGUCCCGCAACGAGCGCAACCCUUUUCCUUAUUUGCCAGCGGGUUAAGCCGGGAACUUUAAGGAUACUGCCAGUGACAAACUGGAGGAAGGCGGGGACGACGUCAAGUCAUCAUGGCCCUUACGACCAGGGCUACACACGUGCUACAAUGGUCGGUACAAAGGGUUGCUACCU